GUCCUGGUGGUCCUCUCUUCGGUGGCUCAUCACCUGGCUGUCCUGGUUUGUGCUCUGGUGGCGGCUUCUCAAACCCUGGAUCCUCAGUGUGCUCUUGGGGUGGCUUUUGUCCCUUCGGGGGCUCAUUGUGCCCUUGUGGUGGCUUUUGUCCCUUUGGAGGCUGAUUGUGCUCUUGAGGUGGCUUUUGUCCCUCGGGAAUUUUGCCUUCCACCUCUAGCAAGUGGUGUUCAUUGUGCGGUGGCUUGUGCUUGGGUGGAGGCCUCUCUCCUUUGCCCUUGAGGGGCUCGUUAUGUUGGGUUGGGGGCUUCUUCUCUGGGAAUGGGAAAGGCUCUUCCUUGUUAAGUGGGGUUGGAGUCUUGUGAUUUGGUGGGUUGUGGGAAGGAGGCUUUUGAAUUGGGGGUUUCAGGGCAAGAGAAGGAGUUGAAGUGGUGAAAACCACCACUCCGACAAGAAAAACUAGCAAGUAAUUGGGAGACAUCUUUAGACUCUUAUGUUCUAGGAUGGUUGGAAACUAGUAGAAGUGAGUGGCUUUUUAUAGUGAUGGGGCAGCACUGUGGUCAUGGCACAUGUCACCAUGCACUUGGAUUUUUUUUUAAUGAAAUGUGUGGACUCG
This 613-nucleotide long non-coding RNA is filed under the name Malus domestica (apple). RNAcentral's name for it is "long non-coding RNA (MDOM_LNC016524)". Lineage: Eukaryota; Viridiplantae; Streptophyta; Magnoliopsida; Rosales; Rosaceae. The record is from RNAcentral.